Molecule: long non-coding RNA, 2295 nt
Organism: Galleria mellonella (greater wax moth)
Lineage: Eukaryota; Metazoa; Arthropoda; Insecta; Lepidoptera; Pyralidae
Exons: 4
Source: RefSeq, a predicted model, not a curated record
CACAGUUUUUCAACGCCCGUUUGUUUUGAAAAUUUCUCAAAGCGGAAAAUGCUAUUUACUUAUUGCGCUUCGUUUACUUACAAGGUAUUUAGGUUUGUGUCGUCUGUUCCCUGUUUUGUAUUUGGAAAAUGGAAUUUUCCUGUCUCGAUAGACGAGAACUCUCAAUCGAUUUCGAAAAGGAUGUCUCAAUAGCUGUUUUAUUUUUGUUUAACUUUGCUUUGUUUUCUGUUACCUAAUUUGAUGGUUCGUUAAUUCUAAUUUAUUUAAAACAAGAUUUGAAAUGUUCAAGAUUUAAGCAAUAAUGAUUUAUAAACUAAAUUUUUUUUAUACAACUUAGAACGGUAAACAAGCUGACGGGCCACCUGAUAGUGGUAACCGUCGCCUAUAGACAUGAGCAGUACCAUGGACAUAACAACCACAACACAUAACACACCCUUCAAACCGAAACACAGCCAUGCAAAUACAACUGCUUCACGGUUGAAAUACGAAUGGGACAGAGGUACCCAAGCAAUCGACUUUUGUACGAAGUCUCUUUUUGGUAAUAUAUGUAUUUUAUUCUCUUCACACAAAAAUUUUCUACAAGAGUUGCUACAAGAGUUAAAUUUGGGCCCAAAUUCUUUUACAUAACGACUGUGACAAAACUUGUCAGAGUACUUAGCAAUUUCACUCACUUUCUGAAUCGAACCACCUGGAAAUGAGAUAAAAAAAAAGACAGCACAGUAUUCAAUUUAAAAAUUACUUAAUAUAAUAUAUAUAGUACUCGUAGAGCAUCUAAAAUCUUCCAAUAAUGCUUAAGGUAGAUAACUUAAGGUAGAAAGUACAGUUUCUGUCUCCAUUCCACAGCAAGCAUGCUCCAGCAUCUACACUGAAUUAAAUGAUAAAAGAUUGUAAUAAUUUUAUUCCUCUACGUAUCUCAUUUUGAGAUUGGACAAGGAAAAAAUUGCUACUAUUCAUUGCCAAUUAGUGAAAUUAUUUUUACUCGCAAUGAUAUCACUAGUGACAAAUCAUAAAAUAGUGCUACUAUUUGCUAUGUAAUAUGAAUUAUCAUAAGAGUGAGCGAAUAGAGACUUAAAAGCAAUGUUAUAGUCUGUAUUCGCUUGCUUUGUGCAGUCCAGUCGGUCGUCUGUUGCGAUUUCACUUCGCUGGUAUCAAGCACAGCCGAUGAUUCACGAAUAAACCCGAUCACAGCGACUAUCUGCGAUUUCAUGUUACAGUGAUUUGUAGCACUUUUUGUGAGCUCGUAGCUAGAGUGACGUAUUAUUUGGUGGUAUUACCAGGAUGAGCAAAUUUACUUCUAAUAAAAAAAAGUUUUUUAUAGGGGUGUGAAGAUGGAUUCUCUGCCGAUGGCGAGCAAAGGUGGCCGUAGGCAUCAUGUCGAAGAGUUUUUCAGAAUACAGUCCGUUAUACAGGCGGUAGAAGGCACAAAGGGGAGCAAAUUCUCUUCUUAAAGAAAGGGGCUAAUACCACCUUCUAGCUUUGGAUUGUUGACAAUUCUCAUAGCAUGCCUCUGAACCAAUUUAGUACAAGUUGCUAUGCAGGAGCUUCUGUCCACAAAAUACCAGGAUCCAAAGCUCAUUCUACACUGACAUUACACAGAUUCAGGAAAAUUAAACGGCGUGAAUCUAUGUCAUAUCAUUGUACUAAAGAUGUGCACGUGCAUACUUCAUGUGAGAGAAUCCAGCCGUUGUGUGCCAUCUUAUGCCUUGCGUAUUCGAGAUGGAUGGCGCCCUCGGAGCUGAGGAGGAGCGCCCCUUGCAGGCGGGCCAUGGCAGCGCCGGCGUCGGUGGGGCUAGCGAAGUCGACGAAGGCCACCGGGCCCGAGCUGCCGCCGUUGCCGCCGGUCAGGAGUCGCAGGCGCGAGAAACCGGGGCAACUGUACCACCACACUUAGUUGUGCCCACGCCCGUAAACCCACAGCGAUUUGAAGUGUGUAUUGAUGAUAGAUCACAUUGCUAUCAGGCUCAAAUUUAGAAUAUACCCAUAUUGAAAAAUAUGAACUCUUGGGAAUUAAUAAUGAUAUCGAGUUAAUUGAAUGAGUUAAAGAGACUAAAACAGAAUAAUAAAACAAUAUUCGAUGUUGAUGUCGAACAGUUAAUUUCUAUCAUAUAGCAGUAUAAAAAUUAAUAUCUACUGGAGCCCCUAAAAAUAUAAGGGCUAAAUAAAUUUGAGAUCGAUUCUAUAACAGCCUGAUCGAAAAUUGUAUCCGUGAGCUCGUUUACCUGAAGCAAUGUGAGACUAAUGAUCUAGUCAAAAUAUUUGUGUUGUCUAUAUUUAAAUAAAAAUUUUCAUCAUAUA